UAACACCUGUUGGGGUCUCCUGAUGAAGCCUGGGACUGGUGGGAUGAAUCUACCUGUAGCUGCUCUGUCACUUCCAUAAGCAGACUUGCCCUGUGUUACUAAAUGCUACCCAAUCAGGGUUGACUGUUUUUUGUUUGUUUUUUUUUCUUGUGCAAAUGAUUACAACAUGCGUGCAGAGCCACAACAGCAUCUACAAGCGUUUUCAAGACAGUGUGGCAGUUUGAUCAGCACAUUUUUUGUAUGAU
This is a non-coding RNA of Pelobates cultripes (western spadefoot toad), 245 nucleotides long. The record is from the annotation of a GenBank genome assembly. Lineage: Eukaryota; Metazoa; Chordata; Amphibia; Anura; Pelobatidae.